This 253-nucleotide ribosomal RNA is filed under the name uncultured bacterium. RNAcentral's name for it is "partial 16S ribosomal RNA". It matches the Rfam family "Bacterial small subunit ribosomal RNA", at positions 524 to 776 of the family's 1533-position model. The record is from RNAcentral.
GACGAAGGAUGCAAGCGUUAUCCGGAUUCAUUGGGUUUAAAGGGAGCGUAGGUGGCCUUAUAAGUCAGUGGUGAAAUCUCUGGGCUUAACCCAGAAAUUGCCAUUGAUACUGUAGGGCUUGAGUAUAGAUGCCGUUGGCGGAAUAUGACAUGUAGUGGUGAAAUACAUGGAGAUGUCAUAGAACACCGAUUGCGAAGGCAGCUAACGAAACUAUAACUGACACUGAGGCUCGAAAGUGUGGGGAUCAAACAGG